CUUGAGCUGUCUUGUCUCUUACAAAACUUUCCGUUUUCUUACACAACUGUUAAAAAGAACAGAGUCGUUCUCAGAGUUUUGUAUUGCCCCAGACAUCUCAUAUCCCAAAACUCAUGUCUCCUUCUUUUAUAGAAUCUUUAAUUUCUUCAACCACGUGAAAGAGAAUCUAUUAAAACUCUUGACUUGUCCUGUUUUUCGUACGACUCUUUUUUUUUUUCCACUCAAUGACCAUUUCUCUUGAUCAAGACAUUUCAUCUCCCAAAAACCAUGUCUAUUUAUAAUAGCAACAGCUCGAAUUUAUGUUCUUCAACCACGUGGAAGCUAAUAAACUUUCCCUCAACUGUCUUCUUUCUUAUA
Molecule: long non-coding RNA, 357 nt
Organism: Arabidopsis thaliana (thale cress)
Lineage: Eukaryota; Viridiplantae; Streptophyta; Magnoliopsida; Brassicales; Brassicaceae
Product: other RNA
Exons: 1
Source: RefSeq